RNAcentral lists this long non-coding RNA (751 nucleotides) under Pongo abelii (Sumatran orangutan). RNAcentral's name for it is "lincRNA". Lineage: Eukaryota; Metazoa; Chordata; Mammalia; Primates; Hominidae. The record is from RNAcentral.
GAAAAGGCAAGUUUAACCACGUUGCUCUAAAGCACUAGCCCCUUUCAGGUUUCGGACACGUGGCCUCUCUGGCUGAAUGGACAGAAAGUCUGAAUGUGCGACUUCUUGGCAGAUACUGCAUCUUCAGCCAGGAGAAGUUGGCUUAGUACAAAAGGGCUUUUGAAGCGGAAACUACAAGAAGAUGCAUCUGUCUUAAAAAAUAAUAAACCAAGAAAAUAAAAGAUAUGGGAUCCUAGAAAUAAAAGGUGCAACACGAGAGAGAGAUAAAGAAAAACAUUGACAACCUCUCUAUGAAGAAAGACCCAAAAUAACAACUUUGCAACAGCUCUAGAGAAUAAUUUGUUCAGAUAAGAGUAACUCAGGAGACUCCAAGAGCAAUUUUCAAGAAGAUUAAAUCUAUAGAAUACCUAAUAUGUUUGCAUGUGUAGAGAAGAGAUUUAUACUACUUGGAGAGAAUUUAGCAGUUCAUCUAUGAAUAUCAUUUGCAUAGAUACAGUGUUCGCUAAAUAUUUCUAUAGCCUAAGGAAGAUGGUGAAUGAGAAGUGUGCUUGUGUGUGGCAAGGAAGAAGAGGAUUUACCAAGUGGGAAUCCAUGGUCAAAUGCUUAAGACUUAGCAGGGCAUUUACCAAGUGGGAAGUCAAUGGGCAAAUGCUUAAGACUUAGUAAUCAGAAUGCAAAUAUGUAAGUACAUGUAGAGGCAAAACAUAGCAUUGUAGUUAUGUGCGCAGAUGCUGGAGUGAGACUCUCUGGG